UUUAAGGUCCUGGAGGCUGAAGGCUUGUAUUUAUUCCCAGAGCAGGUAACGCACACUCAAUGGGAGUGCAAGCUUCCCCAUGCUGUCACACAAAUAUACCUAAACCAUGUCCUACAGCAGCAAUCAACUUGGAUUUCUGAGCAAGGAAACUGCCUGCUGCUUUUUGUUUCUAUUGUGUUCAAGGAAACA
This 189-nucleotide small RNA is filed under the name Chelonoidis abingdonii (Abingdon island giant tortoise). Its description in RNAcentral is "TUC338 (ENSCABG00000015870.1)". Lineage: Eukaryota; Metazoa; Chordata; Testudines; Testudinidae. The record is from RNAcentral.